CGAUAUAUGAUGUCGAUGUG
Molecule: microRNA, 20 nt
Filed under: Ciona intestinalis (vase tunicate)
Lineage: Eukaryota; Metazoa; Chordata; Ascidiacea; Phlebobranchia; Cionidae
Description: cin-miR-3599-3p
Source: miRBase by way of RNAcentral